GAUGAACGCUGGCGGCGUGCCUAAUACAUGCAAGUCGAGCGAACAGAUAAGGAGCUUGCUCCUUUGACGUUAGCGGCGGACGGGUGAGUAACACGUGGGUAACCUACCUAUAAGACUGGGAUAACUUCGGGAAACCGGAGCUAAUACCGGAUAACAUUUGGAACCGCAUGGUUCUAAAGUGAAAGAUGGUUUUGCUAUCACUUAUAGAUGGACCCGCGCCGUAUUAGCUAGUUGGUAAGGUAACGGCUUACCAAGGCGACGAUACGUAGCCGACCUGAGA
RNAcentral lists this ribosomal RNA (280 nucleotides) under uncultured bacterium. RNAcentral describes it as "partial 16S ribosomal RNA". It matches the Rfam family "Bacterial small subunit ribosomal RNA", at positions 28 to 297 of the family's 1533-position model. The record is from RNAcentral.